UAGAGAUGGGGUUUCACUAUGUUGAUCAGACUGGUCUUGAACUCCCGACUUCAGGUGACCCGCCCCCUUGGUUUCCAAAAGUGCUGGGACAUGAGUCACCACUCCCGGCUGUUUGUUUUUUUUAGAGACAAGGUCUCACUGUGUUGCUCAGGCUGGACUUGAACUCUGGUGCUCAAGGGGAUCCUUCCACCUCAGCCUUCUGAGCAGCUGAAGAGUACAGGCCUAGCUAACAACACACACACACAUGUAUAUGUAUACUCAAAAUAUAUAUAUAUUGACACAGUCUUGUUCUAUUGCCCAGGCUGAAAUGCAGUGGCCACGUGGAAAAUAACACACCUGGCCAGUUUUUUCCUACUUUUUAUUUUGAACUCAGUUUCUUGCUUAAGCCUCUAGACUCAGGUUUGGGCCCAGGAUGGGCUGGGACCAGGACCUGCAGCAAGCCCAGGCAGCCUGGCCCAGGCCUCUUCUUGUUCUUAGCCUUUUAUCUCCUGGGGCAAUUAGGGAACCGAAGGCCCAGCCUUGGAUAAACAUCUGCCCAAGACUCUUGAGUCUCAUGUACAAUUUCAGAAAACGAGAAAAGAAAGGGAGCGGGGCGCAGUGGCUCAUGCCUGUAAUCCCAGCACUCUGGGGGGCCAAGGCAGGCGGAUCACUUGAGGCCAGGAGUUUGAGACUAGCCUGGCCAACAUGGUAAAACCCCAUCUCUACUAAAACUACAAAAAUUAGCUCGGCAUGGUGGCACAACCCUGUAAUUCCAGCUACUCUGGAGGCUGAGGCAGGACAAUCGCUUGAAUCUGGGAGGCAGAGGCUGCAGUGAGCCGGGGUCAUGCCACUGCACUCCAGCCUGGGCAAGAGAGUGAGACUCUGUCCCAAAAAAGAAAAGAAAAAGAAAGAGAAGUGUGGGGAGGGCAGGGCACAGGCAUUAGAGUUCCCCAGACAGACAGACCCCUGGGGAUGCUUGACUAAGCCCAUCCCAGAGUCACAGUUCAGGGUGGAGAUAUGGAAUGUCAAAACCAGAUAACUGUUUUGUUUGUUUGUUUGAGAUGGAGUCUCGCUCUGUCACCCAAGCUGGAGUGCAGUGGCACCAUCUCGGCUCACUGCAAGCUCUGCCUCCUGGGUUCACGCCAUUCUUCUGCCUCAGCCUCCCAAGUAGCUGGGACUACAGGCACCUGCCACCACACCCGGCUAAUUUUUUGUAUUUUUAGUAGAGAAGGGGUUUCACCGUGUUAGCCAGGAUAGUCUCGAUCUCCUGACUUCAUGAUCCGCCCGCCUCAGCCUCCCACAGUGCUGGGAUUACAGGCGUGAGCCACCGCCCGGCUGUUUUUUUUUGAGAGGGAGUCUCACUGUCACCCAGGCUGGAGUGCAGCAGCGCAAUCUCGGCUCACUGCAACCUCCUCCUUCCGGGCUCCAGUGAUCCUCCCACCUCAGCCUCCCGAGUAGCUGGGAUUGUAGGUGUACACCACCCAUGCCCAGCAGAUUUUUUUUUUUUUUUUUUUUUUGUAUUUUAGUAGAGCCAGGAUUUCACCAUGUUGGCCAGGCUGGUCUCGAACCUCUGACCUCAAGUGAUCUGCCCACCUGGGUCUCCCCAAGUGCUGGGAUUACAGGCGAGAGCCACUGCGCCCAGCCUCAGAUAACUCUUAAAGAUCAUCUGUGCAACCCCUUCAUUUUACACAUGGGGAAACUGAAGCUCAGGGCAUCUUGCUGGCGGUUACCCCUUCCUUCCUGGCAGUUCUGCCCAUGCAGUUUUGGGGUUGAGGGAGGUGGAGAACUUCCUUUCUAGGGGUUCCCAGAGAUUGGCCAGGGAAGUAGGGGACUCUGUGCCGCAGUCGAAGGGAUUUGGGUUCCCACAUCACCUCUCCAGCCCCCUAGGGAACUGUGCAAAGGAGGGGGAAAUAGGAAUGUAGGAAUGGCCUGCUGAGUGGGUGUAUCCAUGAUAACAGUAAUUAGGGAGGUGGGAGGCUUUGAGCGGGCUAAUUAUGCAGGCUGGGUCUCAGACUAGAUAACCCUCCUCCUUAUCUUUAUGCAGGGACCCAAAAGAUAGGAAAACUGCAGUGCUCAGGAGUGCCAUGAGGUAGCCCUAAGGACGCCUGCUGUGCAACAGGACCCUGCGAGGGAAAGGGGAAGGGAUCCACCAAAGAUAAACUGCAGAUUAUUUUAUUUGUUUGUUUUUGUUUUUUGAGGCGGAGUCUUGCUCUGUCACCUAGGCUAGAGUGCAGUGGCAUGAUCUUGGCUCACUGCAACCUCCGCCUCCUGGGUUCAAGUGAUUCUCCUCCCUCAGCUCCCAAGUAGCUGGGAUUACAGGCACCCGCCACCUCACCAGGUUAAUUUUUGUAGUUUUAGUAGAGACAGGGUUUUGCCAUGUUGUCCAGGCUGGUCUUGAACUCCUGACCUCAGGUGAUCCACCUGCCUUGGCCCCCAAAGUGCUGGUAUUACAGGCGUGAGCCACUGCGCCCGGCCUUAAACUGCAGAUUCUAAAGCUGCUGGGACUGGUUCGUCACUAGGCCCAUGGACAAACUGGUCACCGAUCCCCAUGCUGACCGGUAGGCACUUACGGACGCUCACUGACCCUGAGGAGGAUAGGGAGAGGUGCCUCCGCUUGGCAUCCUCCGUGGGCUCAGGCUGGUGGGUCUCAGUCAGGCAUUAUGGAAAUGAUCUGAAGUUCUAGACACAAAGGUCAAAGCAUACAGUACACAAAAGGAGUGUCUGAAAGGAAAGCCAACUGUUAUAAAUAAUGGGGGACUCAGCCAGGCACAGUGGCUCACGCCUGUAAUCCCAGCACUUUGGGAGGCCAAGGCGGCAGACCACCUGAGGUCGGGUGUUCGAGACCAGCCUGACCGACAUAGAGAAACCACCUCUACUAAACCCAUCUCUACUAAAACCCUACUAAACUCUACUAAAACCCUACUAAAACCCAUCUCUACUAAAAAUACAAAAUUUGCCAGGCCUGGUGGCGCAUGCCUGUAAUCCCAGCUACUGGGGAGGCUGAGGCAGGAGAAUUGCUUGAACCUGGGAGGCAGAGGUUGUGGUCAGCCAAGAUUGAGCCAUUGCACUCCAACCUGGGCAACAAGAGCAAAACUCCGUCUCAAAAAAUAAAUAAAUAAAUAAAUAAUGGGGGGCUCAAAGGUGAAACCCCAGGCUGCCAGCAAUGCUGCCCCCCCACAUCCUGUGGAGCCCUCAGGGCCUGGCACCUUCUACACUGAAAUCAUUCACUCAGUCAACAAAUGUGCAUUAAGUGGGGUAUGGUCGUGUGCACCUGUAAUCCCAGCUACUCAGGGAACUGAGACGGGAGGGUCACUUGAGCCCAUAAGUUGGAGGCUUCCGUGAGCCGUGAUCAUGCCACUGCACUCCAGCCUGGGCAACAGAAUGAGACCCUGUCUCUAAAAAUAAAAUUAAAAAUAAAUAAAUGUGCAUUAAACACCUACCAUGCAUUGGGCUCUGGAAAGAUGCUGGGAACACCCAGAUAAAUAAGUUAUGGUUCUUGCCUUCAAGAAGUCCCCAGGUCGGCCAGGCGCGUGCCACUACACCUGGCUUUUUUUAAACAAUAUUUUUUGUAGAGACGGGGGUUUUGAAAUGUUGCCCAGGUUGGUCUCAAACUUCCGAAUCCUGAACUCAAGUCAUCCGCCUGGCUUCGGCCUCCCAAAGUGCUAGGAUUACAGGCGUGAGCCGCUGCACCGCCCGGCCGAGAAGAAUCUUACCAGUUCUCAUCUUCCUUCCUCCCGUUUAAAUGCUCACAUCAAGUCGCUGGCUUUCCUCACCACGUGCUC
Molecule: long non-coding RNA, 3761 nt
Filed under: Homo sapiens (human)
Lineage: Eukaryota; Metazoa; Chordata; Mammalia; Primates; Hominidae
Description: HSALNT0236093
Source: RNAcentral